RNAcentral lists this ribosomal RNA (253 nucleotides) under uncultured bacterium. RNAcentral describes it as "partial 16S ribosomal RNA". It matches the Rfam family "Bacterial small subunit ribosomal RNA", at positions 524 to 776 of the family's 1533-position model. The record is from RNAcentral.
UACGUAGGGUGCGAGCGUUAAUCGGAAUUACUGGGCGUAAAGCGUGCACAGGCGGUGAUGUAAGACAGGUGUGAAAUCCCCGGGCUUAACCUGGGAACUGCAUUUGUGACUGCAUCGCUGGAGUGUGGCAGAGGGAGGUAGAAUUCCACGUGUAGCAGUGAAAUGCGUAGAGAUGUGGAGGAAUACCGAUGGCGAAGGCAGCCUCCUGGGCCAACACUGACGCUCAUGCACGAAAGCGUGGGGAGCAAACAGG